RNAcentral lists this long non-coding RNA (202 nucleotides) under Cicer arietinum (chickpea). Its description in RNAcentral is "long non-coding RNA (CARI_LNC003249)". The record is from RNAcentral. Lineage: Eukaryota; Viridiplantae; Streptophyta; Magnoliopsida; Fabales; Fabaceae.
UCGGUUAGUUUCAAUUUCAAUGGCAGUUUCUUUUUUUUCAAGAAAAUAUUGAAACACGCAACAUCAGUUUUCUGAUCGAACUUGUGUGAACAUUGUUAUUGGGUUCUCUGUUGCAAGACUAUGUUUCCAUAAAUGUUUUUCGCUUGCUAGGGUAAUUUCAAAAUUUUAAUUUCAAUAUAUUUGCAUUCAUACAUAUGUUGGG